This 261-nucleotide signal recognition particle RNA is filed under the name Microcaldota archaeon. RNAcentral describes it as "signal recognition particle sRNA". It matches the Rfam family "Bacterial large signal recognition particle RNA". From Rfam's summary of the family: The signal recognition particle (SRP) is a universally conserved ribonucleoprotein involved in the co-translational targeting of proteins to membranes. Archaeal SRP consists of a 7S RNA and homologues of the eukaryotic SRP19 and SRP54 proteins. The record is from RNAcentral. Lineage: Archaea; Nanobdellati; Microcaldota.
UGGUGGGCUAGAUGGGGGCUAGGGGUCCCUGUUCCGUAAAUCCCCUUUAGGCGGGUCGAAACCCUGAAGCGUAAUUUGUUCUUCAUGCGUCCUUUGUCUUAGGCGCUGAAGUCUUCCCUUUCAGGAUGGAUGCUUUGUGCGAAACUGGUCAGGCCGGAAGGAGCAGCCAUAAGCGCUCUGCGCCAUGCUUGAGAGACCGGAGAUGGAGCUGAUGGCAGUGGCUCCGCGCGGAGAGCAGGUUGCAAAUCAGGGAGCCCACCA